UACGUAGGGGGCAAGCGUUGUCCGGAUUUAUUGGGCGUAAAGAGCGUGUAGGCGGCCAUACAGGUCAGCUGUGAAAACUCGAGGCUCAACCUCGAGACGUCGGUUGAAACCGUAUGGCUAGAGUCCGGAAGAGGAGAGUGGAAUUCCUGGUGUAGCGGUGAAAUGCGCAGAUAUCAGGAGGAACACCAAUGGCGAAGGCAGCUCGCUGGGACGGUACUGACGCUGAGACGCGAAAGCGUGGGGAGCAAACAGG
Molecule: ribosomal RNA, 253 nt
Filed under: uncultured bacterium
Lineage: Bacteria
Description: partial 16S ribosomal RNA
Rfam family: Bacterial small subunit ribosomal RNA
Source: RNAcentral